GACGAGCCUCACAAACGUUAUUCGGAAUUACUGGGCUUAAAGGGUGCGUAGGCGGCGCGGAAAGUUGGGUGUGAAAUCCCUCGGCUCAACCGAGGAACUGCGCCCAAAACUACCGUGCUCGAGGAAGAUAGAGGUGAGCGGAACUCACGGUGGAGCGGUGAAAUGCGUUGAUAUCGUGAGGAACACCCGUGGCGAAAGCGGCUCACUGGGUCUUUUCUGACGCUGAUGCACGAAAGCUAGGGUAGCAAACGGG
This 253-nucleotide ribosomal RNA is filed under the name uncultured bacterium. Its description in RNAcentral is "partial 16S ribosomal RNA". It matches the Rfam family "Bacterial small subunit ribosomal RNA", at positions 524 to 776 of the family's 1533-position model. The record is from RNAcentral.